RNAcentral lists this microRNA precursor (90 nucleotides) under Myotis brandtii (Brandt's bat). Its description in RNAcentral is "mir-544 microRNA precursor family". It matches the Rfam family "mir-544 microRNA precursor family". The record is from Rfam by way of RNAcentral. Lineage: Eukaryota; Metazoa; Chordata; Mammalia; Chiroptera; Vespertilionidae.
GUCAUUUGGAGAUACUGUCAAAAGGCAGAUUCUGAUUCAGUAGGUGGGGCCUAAGACUCUGCAUUUAUGACAGCUCCCAGGUGAUGUCAA